AUGCGAGUCAUUGUAGCAAUACAAGGCAGACGGCUCAGUAACGCGUAGUCAACCUAACCUAUGGACGAGAAUAACCUCGGGAAACUGAGAAUAAUGCUCGAUAGAACACUAUACCUGGAAUGGUUUGUGUUCCAAAUGAUUUAUCGCCGUAGGAUGGGACUGCGGCCUAUCAGUUUGUUGGUGAGGUAAUGGCCCACCAAGACUAUUACAGGUACGGGCUCUGAGAGGAGUAGCCCGGAGAUGGGUACUGAGACACGGACCCAGGCCCUAUGGGGCGCAGCAGGCGAGAAAACUUUGCAAUGUGCGAAAGCACGACAAGGUUAAUCCGAGUGAUUUGUGCUAAACGAAUCAUUUGUUAGUCCUAGAACCACUAACGAAUAAGGGGUGGGCAAGUUCUGGUGUCAGCCGCCGCGGUAAAACCAGCACCUCAAGUGGUCAGGAUGAUUAUUGGGCCUAAAGCAUCCGUAGCCGGCUCUGUAAGUUUUCGGUUAAAUCUGUACGCUUAACGUACAGGCUGCCGGGAAUACUGCAGAGCUAGGGAGUGGGAGAGGUAGACGGUACUCGGUAGGAAGGGGUAAAAUCCUUUGAUCUAUUGAUGACCACCUGUGGCGAAGGCGGUCUACCAGAACACGUCCGACGGUGAGGGAUGAAAGCUGGGGGAGCAAACCGGAUUAGAUACCCGGGUAGUCCCAGCUGUAAACUAUGCAAACUCAGUGAUGCAUUGACUUGUGGUCAAUGCAGUGCUGCAGGGAAGCCGUUAAGUUUGCCGCCUGGGAAGUACGUACGCAAGUAUGAAACUUAAAGGAAUUGGCGGGGGAGCACCACAAGGGGUGAAGCCUGCGGUUCAAUUGGAUUCAACGCCGGAA
This 866-nucleotide ribosomal RNA is filed under the name uncultured crenarchaeote. Its description in RNAcentral is "bacterial SSU rRNA". It matches the Rfam family "Archaeal small subunit ribosomal RNA", at positions 51 to 923 of the family's 1478-position model. Lineage: Archaea; Thermoproteati; Thermoproteota. The record is from RNAcentral.